GACGAACGCUGGCGGCGUGCUUAACACAUGCAAGUCGAACGGAAAGGCCUCUUUCGGGGGGUACUCGAGUGGCGAACGGGUGAGUAACACGUGAGUAACCUGCCCUUGACUUUGGGAUAACUUCAGGAAACUGGGGCUAAUACCGGAUAGGAGCUCCUGCUGCAUGGUGGGGGUUGGAAAGUUUCGGCGGUUGGGGAUAGACUCGCGGCUUAUCAGCUUGUUGGUGGGGUAGUGGCUUACCAAGGCUUUGACGGGUAGCCGGCCUGAGAGGGUGACCGGCCACAUUGGGACUGAGAUACGGCCCAGACUCCUACGGGAGGCAGCAGUGGGGAAUAUUGCACAAUGGGUGGAAGCCUGAUGCAGCAACGCCGUGUGCGGGAUGACGGCCUUCGGGUUGUAAACCGCUUUCGCUCAUGACGAAGCUUUGUGUGACGGUAGUGGGUAAAGAAGCACCGGCUAACUACGUG
This 467-nucleotide ribosomal RNA is filed under the name uncultured bacterium. Its description in RNAcentral is "partial 16S ribosomal RNA". It matches the Rfam family "Bacterial small subunit ribosomal RNA", at positions 28 to 507 of the family's 1533-position model. The record is from RNAcentral.